GGAUGCGAGGAUGAUCUGGUUGUGACAUCUGUCACCCCGUUGAUCGCCAGGGUUGAUUCUGCUGAUCUGCCUGGCUAGGCGGGUGUCCCCUUCCUCCUUCACUGCUCCAUGUGCGUCCCUCAUGCAUAUUCAGUAACAGUGAAAUCUCUCUAGAAAGCUGAAUGGCUGGGUCAGGGGACAGGAUAAUGGUUAUGCAAAUGACUUUCAUGUCUCAAGUUCCAAUGUCCCAGGUUCGAACCCCAGCAUCACCGUAACCAGAGCUGAGCACUGCUCUGGU
This 277-nucleotide small nuclear RNA is filed under the name Erinaceus europaeus (western European hedgehog). RNAcentral describes it as "7SK RNA". It matches the Rfam family "7SK RNA". Rfam says of the family: 7SK was discovered as an abundant small nuclear RNA in the mid-70s but a possible function has only recently been suggested. Lineage: Eukaryota; Metazoa; Chordata; Mammalia; Eulipotyphla; Erinaceidae. The record is from Rfam by way of RNAcentral.